This 468-nucleotide ribosomal RNA is filed under the name uncultured bacterium. RNAcentral describes it as "partial 16S ribosomal RNA". It matches the Rfam family "Bacterial small subunit ribosomal RNA", at positions 28 to 507 of the family's 1533-position model. The record is from RNAcentral.
GACGAACGCUGGCGGCGUGCUUAACACAUGCAAGUCGAACGGAAAGGCCCUGCUUUUGUGGGGUGCUCGAGUGGCGAACGGGUGAGUAACACGUGAGUAACCUGCCCUUGACUUUGGGAUAACUUCAGGAAACUGGGGCUAAUACCGGAUAGGAGCUCCUGCUGCAUGGUGGGGGUUGGAAAGUUUCGGCGGUUGGGGAUGGACUCGCGGCUUAUCAGCUUGUUGGUGGGGUAGUGGCUUACCAAGGCUUUGACGGGUAGCCGGCCUGAGAGGGUGACCGGCCACAUUGGGACUGAGAUACGGCCCAGACUCCUACGGGAGGCAGCAGUGGGGAAUAUUGCCCAAUGGGCGGAAGCCUGAUGCAGCACCGCCGCGUGCGGGAUGACGCCCUUCGGGUUGUAAACCGCUUUCGCCUGUGACGAAGCGUGAGUGACGGUAAUGGGUAAAGACGCACCGGCUAACUACGUG